AAACAUGUCUUUUUGAUUAUAAUUUAAGGUUUAAUCUGCUCAAUGAUUAUUUAAAUUGCCGCAGUAUUUUGACUGUGCAAAGGUAGCAUAAUAAUUAGUUUCUUUAUUGGGAACUGGAAUGAAUGAUUGGACGAGAAAAUUUCUGUCUCUUUAUUAUUUUAAUUGAAUUUUACUUUUAAGUUAAAAGGCUUAAAUUUUAUUAGAGGACGAGAAGACCCUAUAGAGUUUAAUUUUUAUUUAAAUAAUUAUUUUUAGUAUUUAUAUAUAUUAUUUAAAUAAAAAUUUAGUUGGGGUGACUAAAAGAUAAGAAUAACUCUUUUAAUUUUAAUCAAUUAUUUUUGAUUAUAAAAUCUUUAUUUUUAAUUUUAAAAUAAAUUACCUUAGGGAUAACAGCGUAAUUCUUUUUUAAAGUUCUUAUUAAAAGAAGAGUUUGCGACCUCGAUGUUGGAUUAAAAUUAAUUUUAGGUGUAGAAGCUUGAAAAUUAAGUCUGUUCGACUUUUAAAAUUUUACAUGAUCUGAGUUUAAACCGGUGUGAGCCAGGUUGGUUUCUAUCCUUAAUUAUAUAUUAUACUU
RNAcentral lists this ribosomal RNA (574 nucleotides) under Pteroptyx tener. Its description in RNAcentral is "partial large subunit ribosomal RNA". It matches the Rfam family "Bacterial large subunit ribosomal RNA", at positions 1811 to 2663 of the family's 2925-position model. The record is from RNAcentral. Lineage: Eukaryota; Metazoa; Arthropoda; Insecta; Coleoptera; Lampyridae.